GAAAAGAGUGGAAGCCCUGCAGAGGGGGCCAUCGGUGGCCUGUGGGAAGCGGAGCAGAGGUGGCCUGAACUUGGGCUGAUUGAACUGGCCAUGGUGGCCUCCUCUGCUGGGAGAGGAAGAGCAGAGAACUGUAUAGAAGAUGCUGUCUGUCGGGGCGCUCAGGGAGCCAUCUGGGUUAAAGAGGUACCGUCUUCCAGAGCCUGCGGAUGCUUUCCGGUUACUGACGCUGAGGCGUACGGUAGAGCGAUGUGGGAUGACAUUUGCGCCGUGAAGCCUUCGAAGGCCAGCAGAAUUACAAUAGCCUGUGCACUGGGAGAGAGGGCUGAAGCCCCAUUUACAGGUGAAGUCAGAGUUCUCUAAGAUGUGCUCAGGCUUGGGAUAUUACCCAGCUGGGAGGACGCUGGCUUAACGUGCGUGAAGCCCUGGGUUCUAGUCUCAGCGCCAUAUAAAUCAGGUACGGUGAUACACAUGUGUAAUCCCAGCCCUCAGGAAGUAGAGGCAGAAGGAUCAGAAAUCCAAGGUUUUCUUCAGCUAUGUAACAAGAUCAAAACUGGCUUGGUCUACAUGAGCCUCCAUCUUAAACAAACAAACAAACAAACAAACAAACAAACAAACAAAAAACCCUCUAACUGGGCAUUGUUGUUCCAGGUGCAUUUUGAUGGCCCCAAAGGUGCGAGGUAUCACAUGCUUCAUGUCAUAGGUGUAGAAACUGAGGUUUUAUCAAAAUACAGCUUCAGUCUGCUCCUAAGGUUUCACGGGGUCACCCAGGUCCCAAGCAUACUUCCGAGCUUCCUGACCCGAUGCUAUGCCACCUCUCUGGUCUCUCAGAGAAAUGCUUGAGCUUUCAUUCAAAAGACUGACAUUCAGUUUGUUGCUAGUGAAGGUACUGGCUCGCCGCACAGUUUGUACACAGCAGCUAAAGUCACCCUCCCGCUCUCCCUCGCCCCCAGACUUAGGCACUUAAGUACACCGUGGUAACAGGCAAGGUCAUGUUUCUUUUCCACCCCAAGGCCACGUUGCCCUGCAAAGUGAUUGGGUGAGUGCAGCUGGGCUGUGCCUCCGGAUCUGGAGGCCUACUUGUCUACUGCUAGCCACGUGAUGGCUGCUUUGCUUUUAUUACAAUGCAAGUGAAGAUUUAGGAGAUGCUAAGAGGGAGCCUCGUGGUAGAAAACAGAGAGCCCUCUGCAGAGUCGCCAGGGUGAAAGGGGCAGUUUGAAUCUGACUGUAUGGCCUUAUGGGAAUUUUCUCUCAUGGCCGUGAAGCUCCAGGAGGGGAGGGCCAGGAUGCCUGCCUUACUCUUCAUUUCUCUCUGAAUGGCUCUUUUUAUAGACCUCUAAUACUGCCAGCAGGAUCUCAGGACACUUUUCCUCUGGGCCGUUUCUGACAGGAAGUCUGAGGUGCAUGACAAAUGGAAGGAGAGUGUGUCCCCCACCCAGUGCUGAAGUUAAGGACUGGGGUACUAAUACCCCAGCAAAGGUGACUGACAACGCUGUUCCAUGGGCACUACCACACCUCAGAGCCUACAAAUGACCUCAGGCUAGAUGACCGAGUCCUCUGCUUGCCCGACCACUGUGGCUUGGCAGUCUUCAGGCUGUGCUUAGCCACAUACCCUCCCCCACCCCCUGUUCUCUAGAUCCAUCAGGCCUGUGGGUAAUUUCUGACCUUUCUCCUGCUGUCUCCUGCUCUGGGUAAUAUGCCCUAUCUUCUCUUUCUCUUACACAUACCUAGUUAUCAAAUAUAUGGGUCUCUUCUUCAGGGCAACCCUCAGACACUCCGAGGUUUCCUUCCCAGGUUCCCCAUGACAGGCCUCCAUGUCAACUCUUAAUCACUUUGCUUGUAGCCAGAACUCAACCUUUGAAUCUUGCUGUUCACAGAGCCUAAUCCAGAGCCUGGACGGGAUCGUGGUAUGGAUGGACAGAUGGACAGACAGACAGACAGAUGGACAGAUGGCCCCAUUGUCCUACUCCCACGUAGCUCUUUGAUCAAGAGCAGCAAUGGGGAUGAGGGGGAGAGCCUUAAUCUCAGGAUGAAAGGCGCAGGCUGCUCUUUAGAAGAUAAAGCAUUUUUUUUUCUUUCUCACUUGUGUGAAAGAUCCUGUCCCAUCAAUCUCUCCCAGGUGCUGUGUUCUUCUCACAAAGAUCCCAGUUUACCUGUGUGAGGGCUCCAGGGUUACCCAGCUCUUGAGAGGUGUUUGAAUCUUUGGCGCUAGAUGAGGAUCCUGACAUACACUUUGAAGUUCCUCUUCAUAGGCGCCUGCCAGGAAGCAGCCAUGGGUUUUAUAGGUGAAGAGUCCUGGCUUCUCGGGAGCCCUGGUUUGGGGCUCAGGGCCAGGAGUGUCCCUGGGGAGGCAUUGUUCUGUGUUGCUCAUAAUAGCACUGGGCAGACAAGGCAGGAGCACCCAUGCAGGAGCAUCCAUGCAGGAGCACUAAGGCUCCCUCCACUGGGCUUGCUGAUGGCUGGUACUCAUAUUCAUUUAGAAUCUGAAAGCAGCUCCUUUCUCCUUUUGUUCCACGCCACACGGUUUAACUUAGGGUUGAUUCAUGUUCAUUAAUUCCUUUGUUCCCUAAGAUGUUCGGGUAAGGCACUGCAGCCUCCUGAAAUGGGGCUCUUAGCAUCCCUGUAGCACCAGCCGUGGGUGGGGGUGAUCUGAGGUUGCUGCCAAUCUCCCAGUGAGUUGGUGGCGGAGUGUGGCUGUAAGCUAAGCCUCUCCCAGCAAGCAGAGCUCAUUUCUUUUCUCCCCCAGGCAGCCACUGUGCUGCCUCAGUAGCUCUUUCUCCUCAAGGCUGAAGCAAGAGCCCUGGGUUCAGAGAAGCCUGGCUGUGAGCCUCCUGACUCAGCUGUGUGUAGUCAGCUAUGAGGGAGAGUCACAGCCUGAGCUGACACACUGUUAUCUCCCUCGUUCCCCUAGAAAUCCAAUGGAGCCCGCAGAGUCUGGCUGCAGAUUGCUCAGGAGAGCAGGGACGCUGGAUCCCCUUUGUGAGACACUCCUCCACUGGUAAGGCUCUGCUCUCAUGGUAUGCUCACCUCCCAAGGGUCUACCUCCUAAUACCAUUCACUACUUUGGAGAUUUUUAGGUUCAUUAGCUAUUGCUGUGAUAAAAAAUAUCCUAACCAAAAAAAAAAAAUGUAAGGGGGGAGGUAUUUAUUCCUGCUCAUGGUUCAAGACUGCAUGCAGUCCAUCAUGGUAGGGCAGUCACAGUGGCAGAGACUGAAGGAACUGUCCACACUGAACCUAUAAUCAGGAAUAGGAGUGUACACACACACUUAUACUCGGGUGUAUUUCUCAACUCCGACUUAAUUUGGGAUCCCUUGCUUUGAGGAUGGCACCAACCACAGUGGUCACGUCUUACCACCUCAGUCAGCAUACUCAAGGUAUGUGCCUGCAGGCCAACCUACUCUGGACAAGCAGUCACUAAGUCUCCCCACUCAGGAAGUUCUAGAUUGUGUCAAGUUGACAGAGCUAACGGGGCUAGGACGACCUCCUCACCCACCAAGUGCCUCCCCUGACAGCUCUGUGGUGAAAAGUACCUGAAGGAUGCUUACAGUGCAGGUCUGGCUCAGGGCACAGGCUUAGCUAUGUGGACAGCGGAUGGACAGAUGGCUCUUGUAUUGCAGUCACCUCUCCCAGCUUUCUGUGUCCUCCUGGGAUUUGAUAGGCAUGCUUACCAUUUUUGUUCAACAAAUAAACAGCAUCACAGAUCCUCUGUAAACGGCCUCUCUCUGAACUAUAUGAUCCAGUGUUUUGAGCC
This is a long non-coding RNA of Mus musculus (house mouse), 3748 nucleotides long. RefSeq annotates it as predicted gene 10829. The transcript has 4 exons. NCBI's taxonomy places the organism in Eukaryota, Metazoa, Chordata, Mammalia, Rodentia, Muridae. The record is from RefSeq and is a predicted model, not a curated record.